GGGAAGCUCGGCACCAAACAAAGGAAAGCGACCAAGCAUGAGGCAAAGGGAUACGACUGAGAGUGUGGUCGACAUUCAGUACGCUCAAACACAACAACAUUCCGUGCAGACGCCGACCUCAUAUUUACAGUACCCCAGGCCGACGAGAUUCUUUUUUAACAUAAUAUUCCAUCACGACACCAUUCUCCCUUUCAAGUGUGCAUAGUGUGACUAUACGUGAUCCAGUGACGUCGCGCACAAAAGGGGCCCCCAAGAAACUUCGGAGAAAAGGUCCGUUGGAGUCGAGUUCGAAGAAAGGUAUGUUCGAGGCCUAGACUCUAAAAUUCAAAUGUCUCUAAUAAUUAAUACUGAUCACAUCCUAUGCAUAUUUAGGGAAGCUCGGCACCAAACAAAGGAAAGUGACCAAGCACGAGGCAAACGGAUACGGCUAAGAGUGUGGUCGACAUUCAGCAUGCUCAAACACAACAACAUUCCGUGUAGAUGCCGACCUCAUAUUUACAGUACCCUAGACCGACGACAUGUCCCUUAACACAAUAUUCCAUCACGACACCAUUCUCCCUUUCAAGUGUGCUGCCGUCUUCAAAUUUCGUCCCUCCU
RNAcentral lists this long non-coding RNA (597 nucleotides) under Olea europaea (common olive). RNAcentral describes it as "long non-coding RNA (OEUR_LNC010404)". Lineage: Eukaryota; Viridiplantae; Streptophyta; Magnoliopsida; Lamiales; Oleaceae. The record is from RNAcentral.